This 1351-nucleotide ribosomal RNA is filed under the name uncultured bacterium. RNAcentral's name for it is "bacterial SSU rRNA". It matches the Rfam family "Bacterial small subunit ribosomal RNA", at positions 28 to 1381 of the family's 1533-position model. The record is from RNAcentral.
GAUGAACGCUGGCGGCGUGCUUAACACAUGCAAGUCGAACGGGAAACCUUUUAUUGAAGCUUCGGCAGAUUUAGAUUGUUUCUAGUGGCGGACGGGUGAGUAACGCGUGGGUAACCUGCCUUAUACAGGGGGAUAACAGUCAGAAAUGACUGCUAAUACCGCAUAAGCGCACAGAGCUGCAUGGCUCGGCGUGAAAAACUCCGGUGGUAUAAGAUGGACCCGCGUUGGAUUAGCUAGUUGGUGAGGUAACGGCCCACCAAGGCGACGAUCCAUAGCCGGCCUGAGAGGGUGAACGGCCACAUUGGGACUGAGACACGGCCCAGACUCCUACGGGAGGCAGCAGUGGGGAAUAUUGCACAAUGGGGGAAACCCUGAUGCAGCGACGCCGCGUGAAGGAAGAAGUAUCUCGGUAUGUAAACUUCUAUCAGCAGGGAAGAAAAUGACGGUACCUGACUAAGAAGCCCCGGCUAACUACGUGCCAGCAGCCGCGGUAAUACGUAGGGGGCAAGCGUUAUCCGGACUUACUGGGUGUAAAGGGAGCGCAGCGGUUAGAUAGUCUGAUGUGAAAGGCUGUGGCUCAACCCCGGGACUGCUUUGGAAACUGUUUAACCUGAGUGCAGAAGGGGAGAGUGGAAUUCCAUGUGUAGCGGUGAAAUGCGUAGAUAUAUGGAGGAACACCGGUGGCGAAAGCGGCUCUCUGGUCUGUAACUGACGCUGAGGCUCGAAAGCGUGGGGAGCAAACAGGAUUAGAUACCCGGGUAGUCCACGCCGUAAACGAUGAGUGCUAGGUGUUAGGCCCUUUCCGGGGCUUAGUGCCGCAGCUAACGCAUUAAGCACUCCGCCUGGGGAGUACGACCGCAAGGUUGAAACUCAAAGGAAUUGACGGGGGCCCGCACAAGCGGUGGAGCAUGUGGUUUAAUUCGAAGCAACGCGAAGAACCUUACCAGGUCUUGACAUCCCUCUGACCGCUCUAGAGAUAGAGUUUUCCCUUCGGGACAGAAGUGACAGGUGGUGCAUGGUUGUCGUCAGCUCGUGUCGUGAGAUGUUGGGUUAAGUCCCGCAACGAGCGCAACCCCUAUCCUCAGUAGCCAGCAUUUAAGGUGGGCACUCUGGGGAGACUGCCAGGGAUAACCUGGAGGAAGGCGGGGAUGACGUCAAAUCAUCAUGCCCCUUAUGAUUUGGGCUACACACGUGCUACAAUGGCGUAAACAAAGGGAAGCGAACCUGCGAGGGUGGGCAAAUCCCAAAAAUAACGUCCCAGUUCGGACUGUAGUCUGCAACCCGACUACACGAAGCUGGAAUCGCUAGUAAUCGCGGAUCAGAAUGCCGCGGUGAAUACGUUCCCGGGUCU